Pholiota molesta is the source of this 88-nucleotide non-coding RNA. The record is from the annotation of a GenBank genome assembly. NCBI's taxonomy places the organism in Eukaryota, Fungi, Basidiomycota, Agaricomycetes, Agaricales, Strophariaceae.
GGGCACAUAGUGUAGUUGGUUAUCGCGCUUGCUUCGCAUUAAAUGGUGUGAUUGCGAGAGGUGUUGGGUUCAAUUCCCAAUGUGUCCA